UGCAGCGAAUCAAUUGCAGAGAGCGGAACGGUAGCCGCAGGUCGGGUAGGGAAGGGGAGAUCGGGUCUCUCGAAGCUCUUGGUAUGGGGCUGGUUUGGAAAACCCUCCCUCCACCUCCAUGUUGGUAGGAGUCCGGUGCUUUCCAAUACCUCCCAUGCCAAUGGUUUCCAGGCACCCCUCCCUUUCCCUCGCCGAGCCCUCCUCCUCCAUGAGAAGUGAUUCGGUGAGGGGAGGUGGGAGAGGAAGCACUGGCUCCCCGAAAGCCGUGGGGAUGGGGGCAUCUGCAAGUCCAUGCCUGCUCUUCCUGCUUCGGAUGCUGUCUGUUGGCGGGAAGAUGCAGGCGCUGGUUCUUGCCGAUUCCUCCCAUCCCUAUGGUUUCUGGCAGCUCCUUCCUCUCCCUUCCGCCUGUUGUGGCGCUCUCUUAUCACUCAUACCGUAUCCAUGGAGGCUCUGCUUUCACCUCCUUCUCCAGGAGAUAACGUGGAAGGCUCGCUGCUUCUGUUCGUGGAUGAUCUAUAUAUGGAUAUUGUUGCUGCUUUGAGUUUUAAGGGAUUCGAAUUGUGUGAAGAAACACACUUAAAUGUUCCAUUUCUUUGAUCUGCUUUACUUCGUUGUCAUGGUAGUUUAUUGGUUAUCUUGGAGAAGCUUCAAGCGACACAUCGAUGACUGAGCAAUUGAGGCGAGUUAUGAAAUGAGCAACUCCAUUAAUGAGAUCGAAGCAUGGUUGGUCUCAGUCGAGCUUUAAGCUGAAUCCGGACUCGAGGGAGCGGAUACACGACAUGCUUUACUGUUGCAAGGUCAAACGAGGCACUCUUCCCAACCGUACUCAACUGUCCAUUUUUGGGGUUUGAAAAUAUAUUUUUAUUUUUAGCGUGUGGUUAGGUUACGUUGGUUUGAGUGGAUGUGGAAUGUCUGAAUGUUCUGUAAUUAUUAUUUGGUAAAAUUAUAUUUUCAAAAUUUAUUAAA
Musa acuminata subsp. malaccensis (wild Malaysian banana) is the source of this 966-nucleotide long non-coding RNA. RefSeq lists it as uncharacterized. NCBI's taxonomy places the organism in Eukaryota, Viridiplantae, Streptophyta, Magnoliopsida, Zingiberales, Musaceae. The record is from RefSeq and is a predicted model, not a curated record.